GACGAACGCUGGCGGCGUGCUUAACACAUGCAAGUCGAACGGAAAGGCCCUGCUUUUGUGGGGUGCUCGAGUGGCGAACGGGUGAGUAACACGUGAGUAACCUGCCCUUGACUUUGGGAUAACUUCAGGAAACUGGGGCUAAUACCGGAUAGGAGCUCCUGCUGCAUGGUGGGGGUUGGAAAGUUUCGGCGGUUGGGGACGGACUCGCGGCUUAUCAGCUUGUUGGUGAGGUAGUGGCUUACCAAGGCUCUGACGCGAUGCCGGCCUGAGAGGGUGACCGGCCACAUUGGGACAGAGGUACGGCCAGGAGUCCUUCGGGAGGCAGCAGUGGGGAAUAUUGCACGCUGGGCGGAAGCCUGAUGCAGCAACGCCGCGUGCGAGAUGACGGCCUUCGGGUUGUAAACCGCUUUCGCCUGUGACGAAGCGUGAGUGACGGUAAUGGGUAAAGAAGCACCGGCUAACUACGUG
This 468-nucleotide ribosomal RNA is filed under the name uncultured bacterium. RNAcentral's name for it is "partial 16S ribosomal RNA". It matches the Rfam family "Bacterial small subunit ribosomal RNA", at positions 28 to 507 of the family's 1533-position model. The record is from RNAcentral.